RNAcentral lists this ribosomal RNA (234 nucleotides) under uncultured bacterium. RNAcentral describes it as "partial 16S ribosomal RNA". It matches the Rfam family "Bacterial small subunit ribosomal RNA", at positions 118 to 347 of the family's 1533-position model. The record is from RNAcentral.
UGAGUAACCUGCCCUUAACUCUGGGAUAAGCCUGGGAAACUGGGUCUAAUACCGGAUAUGACUCCUCAUCGCAUGGUGGGGGGUGGAAAGCUUUAUUGUGGUUUUGGAUGGACUCGCGGCCUAUCAGCUUGUUGGUGAGGUAAUGGCUCACCAAGGCUUCGACGGGUAGCCGGCCUGAGAGGGCGACCGGCCACACUGGGACUGAGAUACGGCCCAGACUCCGUACGGGAGCAG